UAACUGAAGAGUUUGAUCAUGGCUCAGAUUGAACGCUGGCGGCAGGCUUAACACAUGCAAGUCGAGCGGGGGGAGG
This 76-nucleotide ribosomal RNA is filed under the name Acinetobacter baumannii. RNAcentral's name for it is "partial 16S ribosomal RNA". It matches the Rfam family "Bacterial small subunit ribosomal RNA", at positions 1 to 76 of the family's 1533-position model. Lineage: Bacteria; Pseudomonadati; Pseudomonadota; Gammaproteobacteria; Moraxellales; Moraxellaceae. The record is from RNAcentral.